This 1505-nucleotide ribosomal RNA is filed under the name uncultured prokaryote. RNAcentral's name for it is "partial 16S ribosomal RNA". It matches the Rfam family "Bacterial small subunit ribosomal RNA". The record is from RNAcentral.
AGAGUUUGAUCAUGGCUCAGAUUGAACGCUGGCGGCAGGCUUAACACAUGCAAGUCGAGCGGUAACAGAGAGUAGCUUGCUACUUUGCUGACGAGCGGCGGACGGGUGAGUAAUGCUUGGGAAUAUGCCUUAUGGUGGGGGACAACAGUUGGAAACGACUGCUAAUACCGCAUAACGUCUACGGACCAAAGGGGGGGAUCUUCGGACCUCUCGCCAUUUGAUUAGCCCAAGUGAGAUUAGCUAGUUGGUGAGGUAAAGGCUCACCAAGGCGACGAUCUCUAGCUGGUUUGAGAGGAUGAUCAGCCACACUGGGACUGAGACACGGCCCAGACUCCUACGGGAGGCAGCAGUGGGGAAUAUUGCACAAUGGACGAAAGUCUGAUGCAGCCAUGCCGCGUGUAUGAAGAAGGCCUUCGGGUUGUAAAGUACUUUCAGCGAGGAGGAAAGGUUAAGUGUUAAUAGCACUUAGCUGUGACGUUACUCGCAGAAGAAGGACCGGCUAACUCCGUGCCAGCAGCCGCGGUAAUACGGAGGGUCCGAGCGUUAAUCGGAAUUACUGGGCGUAAAGCGUACGCAGGCGGUUUGUUAAGCGAGAUGUGAAAGCCCCGGGCUCAACCUGGGAACUGCAUUUCGAACUGACAAACUAGAGUUUUGUAGAGGGUGGUAGAAUUUCAGGUGUAGCGGUGAAAUGCGUAGAGAUCUGAAGGAAUAUCAGUGGCGAAGGCGGCCACCUGGACAAUAACUGACGCUCAUGUACGAAAGCGUGGGGAGCAAACAGGAUUAGAUACCCUGGUAGUCCACGCCGUAAACGAUGUCUACAGACAACUGAAUCCUUGAGAUUUGGGUGGCGCAGCUAACGCAUUAAGUUGACCGCCUGGGGAGUACGGCCGCAAGGUUAAAACUCAAAUGAAUUGACGGGGGCCCGCACAAGCGGUGGAGCAUGUGGUUUAAUUCGAUGCAACGCGAAGAACCUUACCUACUCUUGACAUCCACAGAACUUAGCAGAGAUGCUUAGGUGCCUUCGGGAACUGUGAGACAGGUGCUGCAUGGCUGUCGUCAGCUCGUGUUGUGAAAUGUUGGGUUAAGUCCCGCAACGAGCGCAGCCCCUAUCCUUAGUUACCAGCGGUUCGGCCGGGAACUCUAGGGAGACUGCCGGUGACAAACCGGAGGAAGGUGGGGACGACGUCAAGUCAUCAUGGCCCUUAUGGCUAGGGCUACACACGUGCUACAAUGGGGCGUACAGAGUGUUGCAAUACCGCGAGGUGGAGCUAAUCACUUAAAGCGUCUCUCAGUUCGGAUUGGAGUCUGCAACUCGACUCCAUGAAGCUGGAAUCACUAGUAAUCGUAGAUCAGCAAUGCUACGGUGAAUACGUUCCCGGGUCUUGUACUCACCGCCCGUCACACCAUGGGAGUUGAUUUCACCCGAAAUUGGGAAGCUAACCUUCGGGGGGCUACCACUUACGGUGGAAUUAGCGACUGGGGUGAAGUCGUAACAAGGUAACCGU